UGACGUCUCGAUUCGGCGUCGUCUUGAAGGCAACCACUCAAGGUCGGCGUUUUCCCGUGAUAUCUUAGAAUCAUCCAAGAUAUCUCUACCAUGAUCAGUCACCUUCUCCGUGGUUAAGGUGUUCAGCAAGAUCCUCAGUGCAGCAUUACUUACGAGGAGGCAAGAUAGUGGAAGCAGUGACCGGAAAAAUGGGAAAGUACAAGAAAUUGUCGUCGUCUUACUUCAAGCUUGUCAACCCGCUCAUCAUAGCCAUGGUUGGAGCUGCAAUGUACCUCAUGGUGAUGGCUUGGCUAGAUCCUAAAGGAGUCUCCCCAGUGUUCUUUGGUCGAGUUGCAGAGUUUAUGCAGGGUCGGCACAGAAAAUAACGACCUUAU
Penaeus monodon (black tiger shrimp) is the source of this 374-nucleotide long non-coding RNA. RefSeq lists it as uncharacterized. The record is from RefSeq and is a predicted model, not a curated record. The transcript is spliced from 3 exons. NCBI's taxonomy places the organism in Eukaryota, Metazoa, Arthropoda, Malacostraca, Decapoda, Penaeidae.